RNAcentral lists this small nuclear RNA (107 nucleotides) under Prolemur simus (greater bamboo lemur). Lineage: Eukaryota; Metazoa; Chordata; Mammalia; Primates; Lemuridae. The record is from RNAcentral.
GUGCUUGCUUUGGCAGCACAUAUACUAAAAUUGUAAUGAUAUAGAGAAGAUUAGUGUGGCCCCUGCGCAAGGAUGAAACACAAAUUUGUAAAGCGUUCCAUAUUUAA